CAGUCGCCGCGGUAAUACGAAGGGGGCUAGCGUUGCUCGGAAUGACUGGGCGUAAAGGGCGCGUAGGCGGCAUACACAGUCAGAUGUGAAAUUCCUGGGCUCAACCUGGGGACAGCAUUUGAUACGUGUAGGCUAGAGUGGGGAAGAGGGUUGUGGAAUUCCCAGUGUAGAGGUGAAAUUCGCAGAUAUUGGGAAGAACACCGGUGGCGAAGGCGGCAACCUGGUCCUUGACUGACGCUGAGGCGCGAAAGCGUGGGGAGCAAACAGGAUUAGAUACCCCCGUAGUCCCUGUCUCUUAUAC
RNAcentral lists this ribosomal RNA (301 nucleotides) under uncultured bacterium. RNAcentral's name for it is "partial 16S ribosomal RNA". It matches the Rfam family "Bacterial small subunit ribosomal RNA", at positions 509 to 807 of the family's 1533-position model. The record is from RNAcentral.